This 52-nucleotide small nuclear RNA is filed under the name Cervus elaphus hippelaphus. The record is from RNAcentral. Lineage: Eukaryota; Metazoa; Chordata; Mammalia; Artiodactyla; Cervidae.
CUCAGCCUUUUAGCUAAGAUUAAUUGUAUGAUUUGUCCUUACCAGUUUAAUA